This 483-nucleotide ribosomal RNA is filed under the name uncultured bacterium. RNAcentral describes it as "bacterial SSU rRNA". It matches the Rfam family "Bacterial small subunit ribosomal RNA", at positions 27 to 507 of the family's 1533-position model. The record is from RNAcentral.
GGACGAACGCUGGCGGCAUGCCUAACACAUGCAAGUCGAACGGAGUUUCUUAAAUGGAUCCCUUCGGGGUGAAGCUUUUGAAACUUAGUGGCGGACUGGUGAGUAACACGUAAGCAACCUGCCUAUCAGAGGGGAACAACAGUUAGAAAUGACUGCUAAUACCGCAUAUGCCUAAGUACCACAUGGUACAAUAGGGAAAGGAGUAAUCCGCUGAUAGAUGGGCUUGCGUCUGAUUAGAUAGUUGGUGGGGUAACGGCCUACCAAGUCGACGAUCAGUAGCCGGACUGAGAGGUUGAACGGCCACAUUGGGACUGAGAUACGGCCCAGACUCCUACGGGAGGCAGCAGUCGGGAAUAUUGCGCAAUGGAGGAAACUCUGACGCAGUGACGCCGCGUGCAGGAAGAAGGUUUUCGGAUUGUAAACUGCUUUAGACAGGGAAGAAACAAGACAGUACCUGUAGAAUAAGCUCCGGCUAACUACGUG